UAGGGAAUAUUAGUAAUGGGCGAAAGCCUGAACUAGCAACGCCGCGUUUGCGAAGAAGGCCUUCGGGUUGUAAAUCACUUUUUGAGAGGAUGAGGAAGGACGGUACUCUCAGAAUAAGUCUCGGCUAACUACGUGCCAGCAGCCGCGUUAACACGUAGGAGGCGAACGUUAUCCGUAUUUACUGGGCGUAAAGCGCGUGUAGGUGGUUUGGUAAGUAGGGCGUGAAAGCUC
RNAcentral lists this ribosomal RNA (231 nucleotides) under uncultured bacterium. RNAcentral's name for it is "partial 16S ribosomal RNA". It matches the Rfam family "Bacterial small subunit ribosomal RNA", at positions 355 to 603 of the family's 1533-position model. The record is from RNAcentral.